This 613-nucleotide ribosomal RNA is filed under the name uncultured Nitrososphaerota archaeon. RNAcentral's name for it is "bacterial SSU rRNA". It matches the Rfam family "Archaeal small subunit ribosomal RNA", at positions 1 to 621 of the family's 1478-position model. Lineage: Archaea; Thermoproteati; Nitrososphaerota. The record is from RNAcentral.
UCUGGUUGAUCCUGCCGGACCUGACUGCUAUCGGAUUGAUACUAAGCCAUGCGAGUCAUUGUAGCAAUACAAGGCAGACGGCUCAGUAACGCGUAGUCAAUCUACCCUAUGGACGGGAAUAACCUCGGGAAACUGAGAAUAAUGCCCGAUAGAACAUUAUGCCUGGAAUGGUUUAUGUUUCAAAUGAUUUAUCGCCAUAGGAUGGGACUGCGGCCUAUCAGUUUGUUGGUGAGGUAAUGGCCCACCAAGACUAUUACGGGUACGGGCUCUGAGAGGAGUAGCCCGGANAUGGGUACUGAGACACGGACCCAGGCCCUAUGGGGCGCAGCAGGCGAGAAAACUUUGCAAUGUGCGAAAGCACGACAAGGUUAAUCCGAGUGGUUUCUGCUAAAGAAACCUUUUGUCAGUCCUAGAAACACUAACNAAUAAGGGGUGGGCAAGUUCUGGUGUCAGCCGCCGCGGUAAGACCANCACCUCAAGUGGUCAGGAUGAUUAUUGGGCCUAANGCAUCCGUAGCUCGNUUUGUAAGUUUUCGGUUAAAUCCAUGCGCUUAACGUAUGGGCUGCCGGGAAUACUGCAUAACUANGAAGUGGGAGAGGUGGGACGGUACUCC